This 427-nucleotide ribosomal RNA is filed under the name uncultured bacterium. Its description in RNAcentral is "partial 16S ribosomal RNA". It matches the Rfam family "Bacterial small subunit ribosomal RNA", at positions 355 to 774 of the family's 1533-position model. The record is from RNAcentral.
UGGGGAAUAUUGCACAAUGGGCGCAAGCCUGAUGCAGCCAUGCCGCGUGUAUGAAGAAGGCCUUCGGGUUGUAAAGUACUUUCAGCGAGGAGGAAGGCGUUGUGGUUAAUAACCGCAACGAUUGACGUUACUCGCAGAAGAAGCACCGGCUAACUCCGUGCCAGCAGCCGCGGUAAUACGGAGGGUGCAAGCGUUAAUCGGAAUUACUGGGCGUAAAGCGCACGCAGGCGGUCUGUCAAGUCGGAUGUGAAAUCCCCGGGCUCAACCUGGGAACUGCAUUCGAAACUGGCAGGCUAGAGUCUUGUAGAGGGGGGUAGAAUUCCAGGUGUAGCGGUGAAAUGCGUAGAGAUCUGGAGGAAUACCGGUGGCGAAGGCGGCCCCCUGGACAAAGACUGACGCUCAGGUGCGAAAGCGUGGGGAGCAAACA